UCAAUAAGCGGAGGAAAAGAAACCAACAGGGAUUGCCUUAGUAGCGGCGAGUGAAGCGGCAAAAGCUCAAAUUUGAAAUCUGGCUCUUUCAGAGUCCGAGUUGUAAUUUGAAGAAGGUAUCUUUGGGUCUGGCUCUUGUCUAUGUUUCUUGGAACAGAACGUCACAGAGGGUGAGAAUCCCGUGCGAUGAGAUGAUCCAGGCCUAUGUAAAGUUCCUUCGAAGAGUCGAGUUGUUUGGGAAUGCAGCUCUAAGUGGGUGGUAAAUUCCAUCUAAAGCUAAAUAUUGGCGAGAGACCGAUAGCGAACAAGUACAGUGAUGGAAAGAUGAAAAGAACUUUGAAAAGAGAGUGAAAAAGUACGUGAAAUUGUUGAAAGGGAAGGGCUUGAGAUCAGACUUGGUAUUUUGUAUGUUACUUCUUCGGGGGUGGCCUCUACAGUUUAUCGGGCCAGCAUCAGUUUGGGCGGUAGGAGAAUUGCGUUGGAAUGUGGCACGGCUUCGGUUGUGUGUUAUAGCCUUCGUCGAUACUGCCAGCCUAGACUGAGGACUGCGGUUUAUACCUAGGAUGUUGGCAUAAUGAUCUUAAGUCGCCC
RNAcentral lists this ribosomal RNA (591 nucleotides) under Candida tropicalis. RNAcentral describes it as "LSU rRNA". It matches the Rfam family "Eukaryotic large subunit ribosomal RNA", at positions 43 to 650 of the family's 3401-position model. Lineage: Eukaryota; Fungi; Ascomycota; Pichiomycetes; Serinales; Debaryomycetaceae. The record is from RNAcentral.